This 465-nucleotide long non-coding RNA is filed under the name Vigna radiata. Its description in RNAcentral is "long non-coding RNA (VRAD_LNC002676)". The record is from RNAcentral. Lineage: Eukaryota; Viridiplantae; Streptophyta; Magnoliopsida; Fabales; Fabaceae.
UUUCCGUUGCAUCUGUUACAAGAGAUGCAAAGGCAGAUGCAGGAAAUGCGGGCAGAGAUGGCAGCGAUGAGGGCCGAACGAGGUAAUGGAGGUGGGGGACCUUCAGUUCGAUCAGUGAAUGUUGAAACCGUGAACUCUAGGAGUGAAAAGGAUAAUCUUGAAACCCAAGAAAAUGGAACAAGAGGGGACAACAAUGGGGGAUCUGGCAUGCGGGGAGGUGAUAACGGUUGAAAAACAGUUAUUUUCAUAUGUCAAUUUAGACCUAAUUACACCCUCUAAGGCUUAGAAUGAGCUUAGAAUCAUGCAAAAUUCAAUAAAUGAGUCAGUCGAGAGUCAAAAGUUGUUUCUAGAGAUAUUAUGCUUGUUUUGCAUUGUUUUGCAGUGAUUUUGAUGAAAGUGAAGAUUGGGAUUGAAGAUGAAGGUCUUAGACUCAGGACAGAGGAAGAAAACUGAAGAAAAGAAGAG